GACCUAGCCUCCUUCUCCAAGCUGACUGCAUCGACUCCCGAUCUCCUUCUCCAAGCUGACCUGCGUCGACACCCGACUUCAUUCUCCAACCUAAGCCUACUGGAGCCACCUCCAACCUGACCCCGAGUCCCCGACCUCGCUCUCUGACCCUGAGUUCCCCUGCCUCGCUCUGACCCCGAGUUCCCCUACCUCGCUCUCUGACCCCGAGUCCCCUACCUCGCUCUCUGACCCCGAGUUCCCCUACCUCGCUCUGACCCCGAGUCCCCGACCUCGCUCUCUGACCCCGAGUUCCCCUGCCUCGCUCUGACCCCGAGUUCCCCUACCUCGAGCUUGAGCUCCGAUCUGACCUCGAGCUUAUUAGCCGACCUGAGCUUGUCAUUCUCCAACGUCUAGUCUCGUAGGUC
This 404-nucleotide long non-coding RNA is filed under the name Rosa chinensis. RNAcentral's name for it is "sRNA RchiOBHm_Chr7g0191881". Lineage: Eukaryota; Viridiplantae; Streptophyta; Magnoliopsida; Rosales; Rosaceae. The record is from RNAcentral.